GAUGAACGCUAGCGGCAGGCUUAACACAUGCAAGUCGAGGGGUAGAGGAAGCUUGCUUCCUUGAGACCGGCGCACGGGUGCGUAACGCGUAUACAAUCUACCUUUUACAGAGGGAUAGCCCCAGAGAAAUUUGGAUUAAUACCUCAUAGUAUUUUCGGAUCGCAUGAUUUGAUUAUUAAAGUUCCAACGGUAAAGAUGAGUAUGCGUCCCAUUAGCUAGAUGGUAAGGUAACGGCUUACCAUGGCAAUGAUGGGUAGGGGUCCUGAGAGGGAGAUCCCCCACACUGGUACUGAGACACGGACCAGACUCCUACGGGAGGCAGCAGUGAGGAAUAUUGGACAAUGGGCGCAAGCCUGAUCCAGCCAUGCCGCGUGCAGGAAUAAGGUCCUAUGGAUUGUAAACUGCUUUUAUACAGGAAGAAACACACCCUCGU
RNAcentral lists this ribosomal RNA (433 nucleotides) under uncultured bacterium. RNAcentral's name for it is "bacterial SSU rRNA". It matches the Rfam family "Bacterial small subunit ribosomal RNA", at positions 28 to 461 of the family's 1533-position model. The record is from RNAcentral.